RNAcentral lists this ribosomal RNA (465 nucleotides) under Vreelandella stevensii. RNAcentral's name for it is "partial 16S ribosomal RNA". It matches the Rfam family "Bacterial small subunit ribosomal RNA", at positions 338 to 795 of the family's 1533-position model. Lineage: Bacteria; Pseudomonadati; Pseudomonadota; Gammaproteobacteria; Oceanospirillales; Halomonadaceae. The record is from RNAcentral.
CCUACGGGCGGCUGCAGUGGGGAAUAUUGGACAAUGGGCGAAAGCCUGAUCCAGCCAUGCCGCGUGUGUGAAGAAGACCUUCGGGUUGUAAAGCACUUUCAGUGGGGAAGAAAGCCUUGGGGCUAAUACCCUCGAGGAAGGACAUCACCCACAGAAGAAGCACCGGCUAACUCCGUGCCAGCAGCCGCGGUAAUACGGAGGGUGCGAGCGUUAAUCGGAAUUACUGGGCGUAAAGCGCGCGUAGGCGGUCUGAUAAGCCGGUUGUGAAAGCCCCGGGCUCAACCUGGGAACGGCAUCCGGAACUGUCAGGCUAGAGUGCAGGAGAGGAAGGUAGAAUUCCCGGUGUAGCGGUGAAAUGCGUAGAGAUCGGGAGGAAUACCAGUGGCGAAGGCGGCCUUCUGGACUGACACUGACGCUGAGGUGCGAAAGCGUGGGUAGCAAACAGGAUUAGAUACCCGAGUAGUC